UUCGGAUUGUAGGCUGAAACUCGCCUACAUGAAGCUGGAGUUACUAGUAAUCGCAGAUCAGAAUGCUGCGGUGAAUGCGUUCCCGGGUCUUGUACACACCGCCCGUCACACCACGGAAGUUGGGGGCGCCCGAAGCCACUUAGCUAACCCUUUUGGGAAGCGAGUGUCGAAGGUGAAAUCAAUAACUGGGGUGAAGUCGUAACAAGGUAAC
RNAcentral lists this ribosomal RNA (211 nucleotides) under uncultured bacterium. RNAcentral describes it as "partial 16S ribosomal RNA". It matches the Rfam family "Bacterial small subunit ribosomal RNA", at positions 1292 to 1500 of the family's 1533-position model. The record is from RNAcentral.